AUCAAGCUAAAACUUGAGUCUUAAUUAUCUCAAUUCUUAUCUUGUAAUAGCUUUCAUAAAAGUCAGGAUUAAGAAUCCUUAUCUUGUUUUCUUUCCAUUGGCAGAUUUAGUUAAUCGAAAUACAAAUCUUUUGAGGAUAGCUUCAGUUUUAGGCAACCGCUACUUGGGAUGUUCUUCUACCACUACCUAAUGGAGCAUCAGGUUUUUUAUAAAUUAGAAUAUUACAAAGGUAAUCACUUCAAUUUUUCCUCCUUAUAUUUGCUUUGCAUGAAAUCUGUGAAAUAGGUUGCCUAUGAGAGUCAAUUUGAUGCAUUUUUCUCUUUAACUCUCUUCUACCUAAGAAAAUAACAAUAUUCAUAAAGCCUUUUGAAUUUCUUGUCUUCACAGGGUGUGAUAAGGAAUUCCCCCAAUUUGAUGAAGGAUUCACAGGCCCUAGAUUAUGCAAACCAUGUUCUAUUCAAUACAAAUAUUUGGAUUUUGAAGAAUUUUGUGCGGCUGCCUUAAGUUUGCAUCAGCUAGAAGGAAUGGAGUGCUAGGAACAACAUGCGAGGCAUGCCUGUGAGCUAUUUGAGAAGGAUGUCAACAAGCCAAUUAUGUUUGAAGGAACUUGCCCUUGUAUUCUCGUGCAUGAACAAAUUCAAAAGUCACACUUGCUGAUAUUGGAGUAGCGCUGUGUUCUUAGAUUAUUUCAAAUAGUAAUCAGGUGGAAAUAGGUUGGGACUGCUCCAAUCUUUGAGAUUUGAAUUGAUUUUUGGAGGAUCAUACAGUCCUGGAUUUUGAAAGAUAUAAGACAAGGUCAGAAUUCUAAACCAGACAAGAGCGGUGUUUUCUU
This is a long non-coding RNA of Quercus lobata, 832 nucleotides long. RefSeq lists it as uncharacterized. Lineage: Eukaryota; Viridiplantae; Streptophyta; Magnoliopsida; Fagales; Fagaceae. The transcript has 5 exons. The record is from RefSeq and is a predicted model, not a curated record.